GAUGAACGCUGGCGGCGUGCCUAAUACAUGCAAGUCGAGCGAACAGACGAGGAGCUUGCUCCUUCGACGUUAGCGGCGGACGGGUGAGUAACACGUAGGUAACCUACCUAUAAGACUGGGAUAACUUCGGGAAACCGGAGCUAAUACCGGAUAAUAUUUCGAACCGCAUGGUUCGAUAGUGAAAGAUGGCUUUGCUAUCACUUAUAGAUGGACCUGCGCCGUAUUAGCUAGUUGGUAAGGUAACGGCUUACCAAGGCAACGAUACGUAGCCGACCUGAGAGGGUGAUCGGCCACACUGGAACUGAGACACGGUCCAGACUCCUACGGGAGGCAGCAGUAGGGAAUCUUCCGCAAUGGGCGAAAGCCUGACGGAGCAACGCCGCGUGAGUGAUGAAGGUCUUCGGUUCGUAAAACUCUGUUAUUAGGGAAGAACAAACGUGUAAGUAACUGUGCACGUCUUGACGGUACCUAAUCAGAAAGCCACGGCUAACUACGUG
Molecule: ribosomal RNA, 497 nt
Filed under: uncultured bacterium
Lineage: Bacteria
Description: partial 16S ribosomal RNA
Rfam family: Bacterial small subunit ribosomal RNA
Source: RNAcentral